Molecule: ribosomal RNA, 494 nt
Filed under: uncultured bacterium
Lineage: Bacteria
Description: partial 16S ribosomal RNA
Rfam family: Bacterial small subunit ribosomal RNA
Source: RNAcentral
GACGAACGCUGGCGGCGUGCUUAACACAUGCAAGUCGAACGGAAAGGCCUGCUUUCCCUUGUGGAUUGCGGGUACUCGAGUGGCGAACGGGUGAGUAACACGUGAGUGAUCUGCCCCCAACUUGGGUAUAAGCCUGGGAAACUGGGUCUAAUUCCCGAUAGGACUGCAGGGUGGUGCCUGUGGUGGAAAACGAUUUUCUAGUGGUUGGGGAUGAGCUCGCGGCCUAUCAGCUUGUUGGUGGGGUACUGGCCUACCAAGGCGGCGACGGGUAGCCGGCCUGAGAGCGUGGACGGCCACAUUGGGACUGGGAUACGGCCCAGACGCCGACGGGAGGCAGCAGUGGGGAAUAUUGCACAAGGGGCGGAAGCCUGAUGCAGCGACGCCGCGUGGGGGAUGACGGCCUUCGGGUUGUAAACUCCUUUCGACCGCGAGGAAGCCACCUGGUUGGAAGGGUGGUGACGGUAGUGGUAGAAGAAGCACCGGCUAACUACGUG